UACGUACCUCUGCUCCGAGGCGCGCGAC
RNAcentral lists this small RNA (28 nucleotides) under Bombyx mori (domestic silkworm). RNAcentral's name for it is "ovarian small RNA-21150". Lineage: Eukaryota; Metazoa; Arthropoda; Insecta; Lepidoptera; Bombycidae. The record is from RNAcentral.